Molecule: ribosomal RNA, 253 nt
Filed under: uncultured bacterium
Lineage: Bacteria
Description: partial 16S ribosomal RNA
Rfam family: Bacterial small subunit ribosomal RNA
Source: RNAcentral
UACGGAGGGGACUAGCGUUGUUCGGAAUUACUGGGCGUAAAGCGCACGUAGGCGGACCUGCAAGUUGGGGGUGAAAUCCCGGGGCUCAACCCCGGAACUGCCUCCAAAACUGCUGGUCUGGAGGUCGAGAGGGGUGAGUGGAAUUCCGAGUGUAGAGGUGAAAUUCGUAGAUAUUCGGAGGAACACCAGUGGCGAAGGCGGCUCACUGGCUCGAUACUGACGCUGAGGUGCGAAAGCGUGGGGAGCAAACAGG